CAAAAUUUCAUUUUAAUUAAAGUCUUCGAACAAUUCUUAAUCUAAAUUCAAAUUCAAACCAAAUGCUGUGUGCCCUCCUGCUGUAUGCACAAUGAAACCCAGCCAGUCCAGUUGGCCAGGCCGGUCUGUGCAGCUCCGUAACUCAGUUAACUCAGUCCAAUAAUAACUCAAGCGCCUAACAGCAACGCCUUCACCUGCCGUCUGCGCCGUCCUCGUUUUGGUUAGAUGCAAUUGCCAUUGUGAUAUAGCCGCAGCCAGUGCGAGUGUGCGAGUGAGAUGAAUGCAGCAGCAGCAACAACAACAACAACAAGGAGCAGCAGUCGCGGCAGGAAGCUGUGUGGGCGGCGUUGUGUGCCAUGUUGUAUAUGGAAUGUGAUAUGCUAAUUGCAAGUAGUGCAGCAACUCUUGUCACUGACAAAUACUAAUACACACACACAGAGACACGCACACAUAUUCACACACACACACACACACACUUACAGACACGCCACAUGCUGCAUCCAAAUACAUUCAGCGUCUGUGGCCUGUUGCUUGUGCCUGCAUCAACACUCAUCUGUAUGCAACAGCAGUAACUGCAACCGAAAACAUCCAACAACAACAACAACAAGAACAAUAGCAACAACAUCCAAUAACAGCAACAACAACAACAACAACCUGAAGAAGAAGCAAAGCAAUGUAUUGAAUUUUGUGGCCAUUUCUGUUUGCGUUUUGCCAGCCAGUAAAACAAAACAAAAAACAAACAAACAAACAAUUACAAUAAUAAAUCAAGCAUAGUUUUAUAGUUUAAAUUAAAGAAGAUGAAAAAAACAAAAACGCAUAUAAAUAAUAUCUAUUAACCACUUAUAAGUUGUAGUACAUAAUGAAAAGAGCAGCGAACAAAAGCAAAAAACAAAAAAAUCUAACAAAAAAUACUUAAUUCAACUGCAAAUAAUUUAUGCAUUAAACAAUAUGCAUUUGUUUAAAUGCCAUUAGAG
Drosophila navojoa is the source of this 974-nucleotide long non-coding RNA. NCBI's taxonomy places the organism in Eukaryota, Metazoa, Arthropoda, Insecta, Diptera, Drosophilidae. The record is from RefSeq and is a predicted model, not a curated record.